AACUUUUGGCAAUGGAUCUCUUGGCUCUCGCAUCGAUGUAGAACGCAGCGAAACGCGAAAUGUAAUGUGAAUUGCAGAAGUAUAGUGAAUCAUCGAAUCUUUGAACGCAUCUUGCGCCCGGUGGUAUUCCGCCGGGCAUGUCUGUCUGAGUGUCAUUACUAUCUCAACCCUAGCCAUGUUUGUCAUGACGUGGCGGUGUGGAUUGGAACGUGGACUUGGCAGGGGUUCGCACUGCAGGUCUUAAAUGGAGUUAGGCUAGUCGACGAUUUUAGCGGUUGGACUGGGUGUUGUAGAGUCGCCUCACUCGGGACGCUGCUCGGAUUAGUUGAAUUGUAAUUGUCUUACUCGAGCACUUUAGACCUCAGAUCAGGCAGCAUUACCCGCUGAACUUAAGCAUAUCAAUAAGCGGAGGCU
RNAcentral lists this unclassified non-coding RNA (414 nucleotides) under uncultured Basidiomycota. RNAcentral describes it as "sequence contains ITS2". The stretch from base 1 to 155 matches the Rfam family "5.8S ribosomal RNA". Lineage: Eukaryota; Fungi; Basidiomycota. The record is from RNAcentral.